UACAGAGGGUGCAAGCGUUAAUCGGAUUUACUGGGCGUAAAGCGCGCGUAGGUGGCCAAUUAAGUCAAAUGUGAAAUCCCCGAGCUUAACUUGGGAAUUGCAUUCGAUACUGGUUGGCUAGAGUAUGGGAGAGGAUGGUAGAAUUCCAGGUGUAGCGGUGAAAUGCGUAGAGAUCUGGAGGAAUACCGAUGGCGAAGGCAGCCAUCUGGCCUAAUACUAACACUGAGGUGCGAAAGCAUGGGGAGCAAACAGG
Molecule: ribosomal RNA, 253 nt
Filed under: uncultured bacterium
Lineage: Bacteria
Description: partial 16S ribosomal RNA
Rfam family: Bacterial small subunit ribosomal RNA
Source: RNAcentral